CKUCUUGGUUUUUGGGAAAUUAUACCUGCUCACUGAAAAUUUAAAGAGCCGCGGUAUUUUGACUGUGCAAAGGUAGCAUAAUCAUUAGUUUUUUAAUUGGAAACUGGAAUGAAUGGUUCGACGAAGCAAAAACUGUCUCUCAAUUAAAUAUUGAAGUUUACUUUUAAGUUAAAAGGCUUAAAUGGAAGUGGGGGACGAGAAGACCCUAUAGAUCUUUAUAAUUAAAUAAGGAUACAUUGAUUGUGGAGGUUAAUGGAUUAUUUUUAUUAAUUAUUUCAUUGGGGUGAUGCGAGAAUAAAUAAACUUCUUGAUAUUGGAACUUUUAUUGAUGGUUUUAAGAUCCUUAAUAAGGAAGUUAGAUUAAGAUACCUUAGGGAUAACAGCGUAAUUUUAUUUGAAAGUUCUUAUUAACAAUAAGGAUUGCGACCUCGAUGUUGGAUUAAGAUGGAKUUUUGGWGWAGCAACUAGWUGUKKUSGGCUSKWC
RNAcentral lists this ribosomal RNA (484 nucleotides) under Diatrypa sp. FGu. Its description in RNAcentral is "partial 16S ribosomal RNA". It matches the Rfam family "Archaeal large subunit ribosomal RNA", at positions 1929 to 2653 of the family's 2987-position model. Lineage: Eukaryota; Metazoa; Arthropoda; Insecta; Orthoptera; Gryllidae. The record is from RNAcentral.